RNAcentral lists this ribosomal RNA (408 nucleotides) under uncultured bacterium. RNAcentral's name for it is "partial 16S ribosomal RNA". It matches the Rfam family "Bacterial small subunit ribosomal RNA", at positions 28 to 526 of the family's 1533-position model. The record is from RNAcentral.
GACGAACGCUGGCGGCGUGCUUAACACAUGCAAGUCGAACGAAGUGGCGAACGGGUGAGUAACGCGUAAUCAACCUGCCCUUCAGAGGGGGACAACAGUUGGAAACGACUGCUAAUACCGCAUACUGAAGGAGGGGAUUGCGUCGGAUUAGCUAGUCGGGGGGGUAACGGCACACCAAGGCGAGGAUCAGUAGCCGGGCUGGGGGGAUGAACGGCCAAAUUGGGACGGGGACACGGCCCCAACUCCUACGGGGGGCAGCCGUGGGGAAUCUUCCGCAAUGGACGGAAGUCUGACGGAGCAACGCCGCGGGAGUGGUGGCGGCCUUCGGGUUGUAAAGCUCUGUUAAUCGGGACGCGGUACCGGAAUAGAAAGCCACGGCUAACUACGUGCCAGCAGCCGCGGUAAUUC